GCCACAAUAGAAUUCUUAUCAACAAUUUCUUUUUCUUUUCCAUGCUUAACCAUCAUCAAUUUCUUUACAGUUUCUCCUUGCAAUUGACCAUGGUGAUAGUGACAAAUAUCUCGACUUGAGUUAAACUUUCUCUCCAUACCAACUCCUGCCAAUGGAAUUGCCAGAAUAUCGCGUGCCAUCAUUGCCACUGUUGGAUACUGACUGCUGAUCAUCCUCCACAGAUCUAAAAUAGAUUUUCCUUUGAUAUUAACAGAAUCAUCAUAUAGAUAGCAGUCAAAUUCAGUGUUGCAAGAAUUUUGUUUGCUCAGAUUUUCAGCAGCAAUCAAUGAGUGCAAAUCCUUAAUCAAUAUUAGUAACAGAUUAAUAUCAAUAUCUCAUAUGUCCAAGCUAUAUCAACAUAGAUUUGUCGUUCUUCCACUGU
This 421-nucleotide small RNA is filed under the name Histoplasma ohiense. Its description in RNAcentral is "hypothetical lncRNA". Lineage: Eukaryota; Fungi; Ascomycota; Eurotiomycetes; Onygenales; Ajellomycetaceae. The record is from RNAcentral.